Long non-coding RNA from Halichondria panicea, 465 nucleotides. RefSeq lists it as uncharacterized. The record is from RefSeq and is a predicted model, not a curated record. The transcript is spliced from 3 exons. Lineage: Eukaryota; Metazoa; Porifera; Demospongiae; Suberitida; Halichondriidae.
UUGCUUUCCGGGCACUUCCGUAUACUCAUAAAGCUUCGUAAAAGAUGUUCUGGAGAAGACAAGUUAGUUAGAUGAAGGCUAGGCGUUCUAGGACUCUCUAGCUAGCUAGUAUAGCUAUGUAACUGGAUUGCUUGGCACCUAGGAAGGAUCUUCGAAGAAAUAAAGAGACAAAGACUCCUGUCGCUCGAAUGGUGGUGGUAAGUGUCGGAGGCCUGAGAAACGCUAGUCUAUUGGCUAGAAUGUUGUUAUGGAGUGUUUAUGAGGACAAGUGGCACGGGAUACGUACAUCUAAAGAAACAAGAGUGGAUCUGCGCCAAGCUAGCUAGCUAGAUAGCUGCUCUUUCUAAUCUAUUUCUGUUGCUAAAUUAUGUUUGUUAAGAAGUGGAGCUAUAAUAUACCUGGCUCCUCUUGAUGAUUGUAAGUACUGGGCUGAUGAAAUAGUCCUGUACAAGUUGUCAUCUUUUA